Pelobates cultripes (western spadefoot toad) is the source of this 210-nucleotide non-coding RNA. The record is from the annotation of a GenBank genome assembly. NCBI's taxonomy places the organism in Eukaryota, Metazoa, Chordata, Amphibia, Anura, Pelobatidae.
GGAGCAGUAAUCCUCCUACUCUGCUCCUUCGCAGGCCCUAUAUUGAUGCCAGGAGCCGGAAUAUGAUGUCAUAUUCCGGCUCCCUGCAUCAGUAGAUGACCUGCAAGGGAGCAGAGCAGGAGGGUUACAGCUCUCUCGCCUCCCCUGAUGUUCUCACAGCUGCCAACCUCACAGCAGCCACACUGGACCCCGGGGACAGAUCCACUCCAG